Molecule: ribosomal RNA, 465 nt
Filed under: Vreelandella stevensii
Lineage: Bacteria; Pseudomonadati; Pseudomonadota; Gammaproteobacteria; Oceanospirillales; Halomonadaceae
Description: partial 16S ribosomal RNA
Rfam family: Bacterial small subunit ribosomal RNA
Source: RNAcentral
CCUACGGGGGGCAGCAGUGGGGAAUAUUGGACAAUGGGCGAAAGCCUGAUCCAGCCAUGCCGCGUGUGUGAAGAAGGCCUUCGGGUUGUAAAGCACUUUCAGUGGGGAAGAAAGCCUUGGGGCUAAUACCCGCGAGGAAGGACAUCACCCACAGAAGAAGCACCGGCUAACUCCGUGCCAGCAGCCGCGGUAAUACGGAGGGUGCGAGCGUUAAUCGGAAUUACUGGGCGUAAAGCGCGCGUAGGCGGUCUGAUAAGCCGGUUGUGAAAGCCCCGGGCUCAACCUGGGAACGGCAUCCGGAACUGGCAGGCUAGAGUGUAGGAGAGGAAGGUAGAAUUCCCGGUGUAGCGGUGAAAUGCGUAGAGAUCGGGAGGAAUACCAGUGGCGAAGGCGGCCUUCUGGACUGACACUGACGCUGAGGUGCGAAAGCGUGGGUAGCAAACAGGAUUAGAUACCCCAGUAGUC